Molecule: ribosomal RNA, 200 nt
Filed under: uncultured bacterium
Lineage: Bacteria
Description: partial 16S ribosomal RNA
Rfam family: Bacterial small subunit ribosomal RNA
Source: RNAcentral
AGCGAACGCUGGCGGCAGGCCUAACACAUGCAAGUCGAACGGAUCCUUCGGGAUUAGUGGCGGACGGGUGAGGAACACGUGGGAACGUGCCUUUUGGUUCGGAACAACUCAGGGAAACUUGAGCUAAUACCGGAUAAGCCCUUCGGGGAAAGAUUUAUCGCCAUUAGAGCGGCCCGCGUCUGAUUAGCUAGUUGGUGAGG